UGUGUACCAUGACAACUCACUAAUGCUGUAGACUCCCAAGUGUGCAGUAGAGAAGCCACCCUUGGAGAGCUGAGUGUGUG
Molecule: small nucleolar RNA, 80 nt
Organism: Lemur catta (Ring-tailed lemur)
Lineage: Eukaryota; Metazoa; Chordata; Mammalia; Primates; Lemuridae
Source: RefSeq, a predicted model, not a curated record